RNAcentral lists this ribosomal RNA (253 nucleotides) under uncultured bacterium. Its description in RNAcentral is "partial 16S ribosomal RNA". It matches the Rfam family "Bacterial small subunit ribosomal RNA", at positions 524 to 776 of the family's 1533-position model. The record is from RNAcentral.
UACGAAGGGGGCUAGCGUUGCUCGGAAUCACUGGGCGUAAAGCGCACGUGGGCGGAUUGUUAAGUCAGGGGUGAAAUCCUGGAGCUCAACUCCAGAACUGCCUUUGAUACUGGCGAUCUUGAGUCCGGGAGAGGUGAGUGGAACUCCGAGUGUAGAGGUGAAAUUCGUAGAUAUUCGCAAGAACACCAGUGGCGAAGGCGGCUCACUGGCCCGAUACUGACGCUGAGGCACGAAAGCGUGGGGAGCAAACAGG